Long non-coding RNA from Centrocercus urophasianus (Greater sage-grouse), 775 nucleotides. RefSeq lists it as uncharacterized. The record is from RefSeq and is a predicted model, not a curated record. The transcript is spliced from 2 exons. NCBI's taxonomy places the organism in Eukaryota, Metazoa, Chordata, Aves, Galliformes, Phasianidae.
UCUCCUGGAGCCUCCUCUGGACCCUCUCCAACAGCUCUCUGUCUUUCUUGUACUGGGAGCUCCAGACCUGGACACUGAAAUACAUUCUGUCCCGGAUGAUUUUGUGCUGCUCGGAGUCCUUAUGACACUCAGUCUUUGUCUCAUGAUAGUUGGAACAAGCGGGCUCUGUGCAUCCCGAUAUCCUGCACGUGAUGAAGGUACUGGGAUCGUUUAAGCCGGCACAGAGCUGAGCUGCUCAUGUGUCAUUUAUCUUCAAAUCCUAUAUUGUAGCACUCGUGAGAUGUAAUUUCUGCAGUGAAUGGCAAUGUAUGCUGACAGAGGUGUUAUAAAACACGGAAAAUACAGAGGGAAGGGACCGGCGUUUCCUUUAUCUCCUCCUGUAUGCGCUGAUGUGGAUUUAUUUUGCAGGGUGCAGGUCAGUGAUGCAGCUCUCUGAUUGCUCUGUAGCCCUGUGAAGCAAAACCCGCCUGCAACAGGUGUUCGGUUGGCAGAAGAGCAUCAUCCUUCAAAUUCCAAGUUUUAUUUAAAAAGCUGGACUUGGCUUUAUUAAACCAUUUGCAAUUUAACAGUGAGAAGGUUCGUAUGGAAGCAUCGUGCCACCGAAAUCGUCCAUGCCAGCAGGGAUAUUUCAACCGAGAGCAUCCCUAUCCCUCCUGCUGCCAUCCAACCUCUCUGCAUCCAGCUGGACCACACUGAGCUUUGGCUUUCAGCUCUUACCUGUGGCCUUGUGCUUUCUGACACACGUGUAGAAGGACCAAUAAAACAUGUCCCAGAG